This 468-nucleotide ribosomal RNA is filed under the name uncultured bacterium. Its description in RNAcentral is "partial 16S ribosomal RNA". It matches the Rfam family "Bacterial small subunit ribosomal RNA", at positions 28 to 507 of the family's 1533-position model. The record is from RNAcentral.
GACGAACGCUGGCGGCGUGCUUAACACAUGCAAGUCGAACGGAAAGGCCCUGCUUUUGCGGGUUGCUCGAUUGGCGAACGGGUGAGUAAAACGUGAGUAACCUGCCCUUGACUUUGGGAUAACUUCAGGAAACUCGGGCUAAUACCGGAUAGGAGCUCCUGCUGCAUGUUGGUGGAUGGUAAGUUUCGGCGGUUGGGGAUGGACUCGCUGCUUAUCAGCUUGUUGGUGGGGUAGUGGCUUACCAAGGCUUUGACGGGUAGCCGGCCUGAGAGGGUGACCGGCCACCUUGCGACUAAGAUACGGCCCAGAAUCGUACGGUAGGCAGCAGUGGGGAAUAUUGCACAAUGGGCGGAAGCCUGAUGCAGCAACGCUGCGUGCGGGAUGACGGCCUACGGGUUGAAAACCACUUUCGCAUGUGACGAAGAGUGAGUGACGGUAAUGGGUAAAGAAGCACCGGCUAACUACGUG